Molecule: long non-coding RNA, 17586 nt
Filed under: Capsicum annuum
Lineage: Eukaryota; Viridiplantae; Streptophyta; Magnoliopsida; Solanales; Solanaceae
Description: long non-coding RNA (CANN_LNC022006)
Source: RNAcentral
UCAACAAUAUUUCAAACAUUCCAAUAUUUAUAAUCCAUAAAUUUUCCUAUCACCCCUAUCGUUUGCCUUUCGAUUUGACGGCCUAAUCAUGAUACUAUCAAGUUCAAUGACAUCAAUGAAUCAAAAUUAGUCCGUAUUCAUUUUUUUGCUUUUCAAAUUCCGCCCUACUUUAAUUCUUGAUCAAUUAACCAAUUCCAAUACAGAAUCAUCCAAUCAAAACUACGACAAUCAUAGACGUUCAAAUAUACUAUCAAAAAUUAUAUCAUCAAUCAACAUGAAGCAAGCAACUCACAACAUCACCUCACCAAAUUAUGUAAAACAAAGAGAAGGAUCUGAAGAAUCGGACCUUAGAAGAAGCUUUAAAAAUUGAUGUAUUAUUCCAAGAAAAACUUGGUAUAAUCCGUGUCGAGAACCUUAAUUCAGACCUCAAUCACGAACUUGCCAACUCGAUCAAAACUGCAAAACAGCAGAGAAAACCAUAAAAAAAAUCCAAAUCUCAAUUUUUAAACCAAGCUUGAAACGAGUCACACCAGGUUUGCUAUUUUUGGUGAAGUUUGAACUCCCUGGAGCUCCGUUGGAUCUCGGCAGUUAGCGAAAUAAUGUUUUCCCAGUGAGAUUUUGCCAGAAAACUAGAAACGAAAGAGAAUUCAAAGAUUUUGAGGGUGCGGAUGGUCUAAUUCCGGUAAGGGAAUACCAAUUCCGGUGAGAAACUCGCCGGAAAAACCAAACCAGCCGUCCUUGAUUUGAAGGUAAUAUGUUUCCUAUUUUAUCAAAGAAAACUUGUGAGUUAAAAAACAUGGUGGAUGGCUUGUGUCUUUAGCUUUCGCGACAAUCGCUCUUGCCCCAGUCACAUUUAACCUUGCUUCCAACUAUUAGCAUAUGUCAUUGACUUGUUGCAUCAGUGAUCCAAAUUCAUAUUAGGAAGAGUGACUCUGCCACAAACACAGUAUCUCUGCUUUGCCAUGUUUCUCAGUUAAACCCUUUGAACAAUGGUAUUUCUGUGGGUUCCCAGACUUGUCUGUUGACAAAACUCUCUACAUGUCCUUUUUUUUUCAGCUCACAAUCAUGUCUCUUUCUUGCGCUGGCCUUUUUGUCUUGCUUUGUACAAUUGAAGAAGUUGGUAGCCAAUUUUAAAAUCUUUUUUCACUUGUUUCGACAUGGACUAGACUCAAAGACAAGAGCAAAAAUGACCAUGAUUUUUUAUUUGGAUAACUGACUCAAGAAAAAUAAAAUAAAAAUAAAAUAAAGAGAAGAAAGAAAAGACAAUGAAUGUCCCCAUUAAAAAAAAAUAAUGAAAAAUGUAUCUAAAAAUGAGAGUUAACUCUAAUGAUUAUGCCAUGCAUUUUGGAUUAAGCUGCCUGAUCUUUCAUCCAAACCUUCUACUAAUUGUUAUUGAGUUAAUGACCUUGAAACUGAAUUGCUUCCUUGGGCCAAUUUGCAUUCAAAAAUCUCAUUUGGCUAGUGGCACCUUGAAGGGUUUUCGCCAACAAGCCUCUCUCAUCUUCUUUUCCUCAACUCACCAUAGUCUUAUGGUGUCUGUAAGAGUUUUCACCAACGAGACUCUCUUAUCUUCAUUUCUCUCAACUCACAGUCGUCUUACGAUGCCCGUGAGAGUUUUCACCGAUAAGACUCUCUCAUUUUUACUGCUCUCUUGAUUUCUUAUGCCGAGGAAGACAAGUGGUUCCCAAAUGCAUCAUCAUAUCCCUUGUAUUCUUAGCCUUAACAUCCUCAAAGAUUGAUCCGAAGGUCUUUCUUUGGUUGUAACUUGGCUUUUGGAUAGGGUUAGAAAGAAGGGAUGGCAUGGGGCCCAAACGACACUUAAAGUGGGGUAGGACUUACAACUUUUAAAAUCGACUCAAAUAAUGAGGAUUAACUCAUGCCCCAGUUUUUAACUAUGCAAUUCUAAAUCAUUUAUUUGGUUGGCCCGAGCCCUAAGUAGGGCAGCCUACGUAUCUCACCCCCGGUAGAGGAGAAUCAAGUCAUGCGUAGUUCUGCCAACUUAUUUUGCUUGAUUCUGAUUUCUUUUUUCUUUUGACUUCUUUUUUUUUUCUUUGUAAUUUUUCUGACUCUAUUUACUUACUCUUUUCUUCCUUCUUGGACACAUUUUCCUCUUUUUUUUUUAACUUUCUGACACUACUCUCUUGCUCGAUACUUUUCUUUUGAACUUUGUUGGUUUUAUCUUGAUUCCAAAAAAAGGGUAUGAAAGAAAAUAACACUAAGGCUUAAAUGGGGUAAACAAAGGAUGACACAAUGUUUAGAUAGCAGAAUAAAAUGUCUUCGUCAUAUCAAUCCUUGAAAAUGCACGUACAUAUCAUGCAAUAUGAAAGUGAAAGAUGAAGAUCAUUUGACACCUUAACAACACUAUCUUUAAUUGAACAUGUGUGCUACUUCUUCCUCUACACUUCUCAAACAUAUAACUCCACCUUUGUUGUAUAUCCCUUACAUUGAAUGACUCAUACUUUCGUCGAGUUGAUUUUCUUUAUAUUCCUCUUGAUAGGAUCACGCAGACACUGUUUGACCUAAUCGAGACAUGUCUUUUAAUUGACGACCAAGUUAUUCUUGUGAUUCUCAAAAUAAUUGCCUUAAUUUUUAGAAAAGGCUUUAACUUGUCACCAAAUAUCUCAGCACUCUACUAUUUUCUUAGAUGUUUCUCCUAACUUUAGCCCUCUGAUUCAAUGUUCAUGCUUAAACUGCAUUUUAAGAUCUGACUGAAAAUUCUGCAGGCAUGUCAUAUUACUAGAAUCAACAUAAAAUAUGUUGUAUAAAGAAAACAAACAAACAACACAUUUGAAACAUAAAAGGAAAGGGACACUUCAUUUAGUUGAAAUAAAAGAUAAAAGGGUUUGAACAUAAACGACGAAGGGACAAACAAGAUAGAUCUCGAACUACAACCCUGAAAUACUUCAAAAAAUAAAAAAGAAAACAAAACAAACUACCAGACCUCUUCCUAGUAGGGAGAUGGGUGACUUCUCAUUUGCUCAGCCUGACAACUUAGCCACUGGUUUGCAUAUCAACAUGACCAGAGCUUCCCUCACUGUCAAUGUUCUGCACCAUAAUCGAUCCAUCUUGAAUCAUCUUUUCAAUUUCCCUUUUCAAAUCUCUACAAUCUUUAAUACUAUGACCCUGAGCAUCAGAAUUAUACGCACAUCAUACAUUAGGGUCAAAAUUUCUUGAACGUCGAUUAAGAGUGCACCCAAGGAAAGGAGUGUUCAUUCUCCACUAUACCAAUUUCUGAAACAAACUGGCAUACGACUCUCUAAUUGGUGUGAAGCUAUCUCUCGACUUCUGCCUCAUUUCAUCAUUUGGCUUGGAUCAAAAAUCAGGCGUAGAAGGGUUUUGGUAUAUUUGUGAAGUUAGAGGAUGACUCUGAAUUGUUGGUGUUUUCCACUGUGGGUAAGAUGGGGGUUGAUUAUGUGGUUGUGCAUUAUAUACUGAAUAUGGAGGUGGAGGAGCAGAGUAUAAUGGAUUUUAGGAGUGAUUAUGUGGAGCUUGGGCAGGACCUUGGGUUUGAGCCUGAGAGUGGCGACAACGGGGUCUUCUUGACCGUGCCCACUGUCCAACUACAAUAGAGGAUGCAACUUCCUCAUUCUUUGUCUCCACAACACUUCCUGAACCCUUUUGAAUUGCUUGAGUUGUCACUUUCAAUGUUGCAAAACUCACAAUGUGACCAGUCUUAAUUCCCCCUUCUAUCAUCUCCCCAUUUUAAGGACCUCAAUAAAUGACUUGCCUAAUGCAGGUAACAAGUGUUGAUAAUAUAUUUCAUCCUGUGCUUGAAUAAAUACCUUUGCUAUUUUGCUUUCUUUCAUUGGCGGUUUUACUCUCACAGCUUGUUCGCGCCAUCUGAACGCAUACUUUCUGAAACUCUCAGUAUUCUUCUUUUUUAUACUAGUUAGGGAUUUUUCGUCAGAGAUCAACUCCACAUUGUAUUGAAAUUGUUAAAAAAAUUCAUUAGCUAGGUCAUCCCAACUAAUCUACUUGUCAAUGUCUUGGUCAACAAACCAUUUCGAAGCUAGGCCUGAAAGACUCUCCCAGAAAUAAUCCUUGAGUAGUUCUUCCUUCCCUCUAGUGCCCCUCAAUUGGUUAUAAUAGCGACUCAAAUGUGCCACUGGGUCCCCAUGUCCAUCAUAGUUCUCAACCUUUGGCAAUUUAAAGCCAGGUGGAAGGUUGACACCUGGAAACAUGCAUAAGUCCUUAUAUGAGACACUUAUGUAACCCUCAAGUCCUUGCAAGUUCUUCAUAGCCAGUUCCAAACUUCUCAAUUUUUGGUCAUUUUUCCUCUUGUCCUUCUUUCAUAACAAGCUUCUUAGUGUUAGGAGGAAAUUCAAGCGGGUGAGUGUCACUGUAAAGACCAGUCAACUUGAAUGUAGGCUCGAAAGUGUAAUGCUGAUCACCAAUAAUAUUCAAUGCAGGCUUUCUUGUAGAGUAGGGAGGCACAACUUGUGGACGAACAUCAAAAGUAGGAGCUUCAGGUGGUGGUGGCACCGCAAAAGCAUAAACAACAGGUGGAGCCGAGUAUGUGGUAGUCUUGGAUUAGGGAGUGAGGAAAUGAACAUUAGAAGUGGUUGGGUAUUGUUGCCCCCGAGUCGAUCCUGAUGCAUGUUGUGGCAUAUCAACAAAAAUGGGAAAUUGUGCAUAUGACACGAGAGGCAAGAUGGAAAGAUAUUCCAGAUUAUCAUUGGGAACUGGAGGAGGAGGUAACCCAUUAGCCCAAGCUCGAUGCAUUCCUAUCAUUUGCUGCCUCAAUUUUCGAAUCACUUCAUUAGCUCCUACAUUCUCACUUCCCAAACUCCCUAUCUGAUUAGUGACAACAAACUCGGUAUCCUUGUUAGCCAUAACCUUCUCUAUGACUUGGUGCAAUAUGGAGGACCCGCUAAAAUGCCACAACCCAACCACCUCAAACUAACUGAACAAGAGAUAGCAAAUGUGUUAGAGUUCAACACUUUCUCAAAAUCUCUCCUUUUUUUUCUUUUUUAAAAGGUCACCGAACCCAAGAAGGGUGUCUACGUAUCUCAGCCCCCGAGAGAGGAGAAUCAGGUGUGCGUAGUUCGUGAAAUCUUGCCAAAAUGGUCAAAUAAACUCUUUUUCUUUUUCUUGAAACUUUAAAAAUAAAAGGAAAUAACAAAUUGUCAAAAGAAUUGACGAAAAUCUUUUUUGCAUUUUUUGGCUUUAAUAACCUAUACAAAAUGAAACCUAUGAUUACCAAAGAAAAGUCAUUUUGGAUUUUCGAUUUUAAAUUUCAUAUGAAAAUAAAACUUGAAACUAUUAAAGGAAAAUGUUUUUGUAGUUUUCUUUUAGAGAUUUAUAUAAGACACUUACUUUAAAUAAAGAGUGAAGAAAAUCUUUUAGAAUUUUUCAAAUAAGAUCUCCGAACCAAAAAUAGGUUGCCUACAUAUCUCACAUCCCGAAAGAGGAGAAUCAGGGGUGCGUAGUUUGUCCAGAUUGGAUAAUUAAUGAUUAAAUAACCAACUAAACCCGGACUUGAGAGACCAGACCACAAACAGAAGAUGAAAAACAUCAAUAAAAUCUUUUUAAGUUUUCAAUUUGAGUCUUAACCUAAAAAUGACACCAAUAAAUAUGCAAGGAAAAUCUUUUUGAUACUUUCGUUAUAUGAAAUGUAUAAAACUUCUAUCAGUUUUUAAAUUUUUCUUUUAUAAAAGGCUCCUAUUGAAAAAAAAUCUUUUUAAAAUUUUUGAAUUAUGAAUGCAUGCUAAAGGAGACAAAGCAAAAAACUUUCUGAUGUUUUUGAUUUUAGACAAAUGAGUGCAAAAGGAAAAAAAAUCUUUCUGAAUUUUGAAUUUUGAAAAACAAAAGCCAUAAAGAACUCUAAAAACUAGAAACUCUCUUUUUUUUCUUUUCGACUCACUAUUCUUCUUUUUUUUUCUUUACUUCUAACACAUGUUUUCCCCAAAUUAGUCCAUCAAAUGACCAUAUUACCCUCAAAGAUGCAACAAUUAACACGUAGGGAUGCUUUAGAGGCGAGUCUCCUACAAAAGGCCAAGUGGGCCCCGUUAGGUCUUCAAUAUGAUGCAUAUAAACAUGACCUAAAGGCUGACCUACGUUGGGGUUCACUAACAAGGCUGUUCGGAGGAGCGUAUAUUCGAUAGUGGUUGCUUUGCUUUCCAUCUACUCAAUAACACCGAUGGCUCCUCCCAUAAAAUAAGGGUGACUCAACUAGAGGUCGUGUGCAAUACAUGUACUAUGGACUUGUUGCAGAAAGAAUGACUCGGGCUAUGCACAUGAUGCUAGAUAUAAAGUAGUAACACAUAAGAUAAAACUGUAAACAAAGAGCAUGUAGGCACUCAAAAAAAAAAACAAAAAGCAACACAAACAUAUGUCUAUACACCUAUAGUGACAAACUAAGCUGAUACAACUCCAAAUUAAGCUCUAAUUCUGAAAAUAGAUCUCCAGCAGAGUCGCCAGAGCUGUCACACCUCUUUUAAACUCCAAAAAGAUAUUAUUUUAAAAGUUUGAAAGGGUUUUCGUUAUAAAAGUGACAAAAGAUAAAAAUUUGCUUCGAAAAGGACCUUUUAUAUUCAAAACUCAGAGUCGCCACUUGGCAUAAUCCGGUGUGCCAAGUCACCUUUGGAAAAUCCUUUUCAAAAUGAUUUGACUCAAACUGGUUUGCUAACAGAGAUUUUGACUAAGGAAUUUUGUUGACAGACGGGAAGGUGUUAGGCACCCCUCGAUCCUGUGAUUUGAACGCGGUCGCUUGUUGGAGCAUAUCGGCUAAUUUGACACCACGAAUGUAUAAACCACACAAAAGCACGCAAAACAAUCAAUCAAGCAAAAAAAAAUAAAAACAAUCCAAAAUUUGGUGUCCAGUCCAAUUUAUUACAAAUCGAAAUAGAAAAUACUGAAAUAAACCUACACUAACCUAUACUAGUCCUAAAUUAUACUCUACCCGAUGCCUUGGUCCUUCAUCACAGACAUCCUCCGUGUACAAAAUACCUCAGGGCAUUCCCCAACGAAUAAACACAAAUACCUCGGGGCAUUCCCCAGCCAAAUGAAUACAUUUUUAAUGCAAGAAGACCACAAUCAUUCAAUAAUAUUUCAAACAUUCCAUAUUUUAUAAUCCCUAAAUUUGCUUAUCACCCCUAUUGUUUGCCUAUCGAUUUGACGACCUAAUCUUGAUACUAUCAAGUUCGAUGACAUCAAUGAAUCAAAAUUAGUCCGUAUUCAUUUUUUUACUUUUCAAAUCCCAUCUCACUUUUAUUCUUGAUCAAUUAACCAAUUCCAAUACAGAAUCAAAACUACGAUAAUCAUAGACGUUCAAACAUACUAUAAAAAAUUAUAUCAUCAAUCAACAUGAACCACGCAACUCACAACAUCACCUCACCAAAUUAAGUAAAACAAAGAGAAGGAGUUGAAGAAUUGGACCUUAGAAGAAGCUUUCAAAAUUGAUGUAUUAUUCCAAUAAAAACCCGGUACAAUCCGCGUCGAGAACCUUGAUUCAUACCUCAAUCACGAACUUGCCAACUCGAUCAAAACCCCAAAACAGCGGAGAAAGCCACAAAAAAAAUCCAAAUCUCAAUUUUUGAACCAAGCUUGAAAUGAGUCAUGCCAGGUUUGUUAUUUUUGGUGAAGUUCGAACUCGCUGAAGCUCCGAUGGAUCUCGACAGUCAGCGAAACAAUGUUUUCCCAGUGAGAUUUUGCCAGAGAACUAGAAAUGAAAGAGAAUUCGAAGAUUUUGAGGGUGCGGAUGGUCUAAUUCCGGUAAGGGAAUACCGAUUUCGGCGAGAAACUCGCCGAAAAAACCAAACCAGUCGUCCUUUUUCUCAUGUAUUCCCUCUCUUCGAUCGAUUCUCUCCCUUUCUCAAUUUGGAUUGUCUUCUCUCCGAUCUCACGCUCAGAUUUGUCUCUCACUGUGGUUGUGUGUAUGUAUAAUGGUUUUGUGUGAAGGCAGGUGUAUUAAUGGAAUAAACUCAUCAGUGAUGGUGUCUAUAUAUUCCUCUUUCCCGUAUUCUAUAUGUGUAUAUGUUGAAUUGAGAUCUUUUUCUUUAUGGUUACCGUGAUGUUCGUCCAUGGCGUGUAGGUGUGUUCGUGGUAUAUGGGUCUUCUCUAAAAAUGGAAAAAAAUGGUCAGAAUGUUACUGUGUGGACAUCUCUGUAUUGUUAUCUAUUGUAUUCUUAUGUAUUCGCCUCCCAGUUUCUGUGUGAAGUGCGUGUGUAUAUUGUGAAUUACAGUGAGUGAGAAUUGUGUGGUAGUGGAGUAGGGUAGGUGGGCUAGUGAGGUGCGGGUAGGGGUAGGAUGUGAUGUGGUUUAUUUUGAUUGGAUGGGUUGUUAGGAUAAGAUAAAAUUAGCUAGGGAUUGUUAUUUUUGUCAUUUUGUGGAGAUUAUCACACGGGGUAGGGUACGCGGUAGGAUAAGGUAAAAAUGUGUAAAAAUGAUAUAGGGAAGGGACAAAAUUAGGUGUCUACAUCAUGCCCCCUUUGAAUGUAAACACAAAGUAUUUUUGAACAAAGAAGUAGACAACAAGACAGAAUUUUGUCCCGAUCAUUAUUCGAAGGAAAAAUAGAAGAAAGAAGAGCAAUCGAGUAUUGACUUAGGACACCCUACCUACCCAAGUUAUGAGGGAAUCAAGUGACAGGAUUCUCAAAGGAUUGAAAGGAGAUGGACUUUACCGAGUUGAAGAGUCGAGUGAGGUCCCGAUGAGGUUCCAGUCCGCGCAUCUGUUAUUACAUCAUAAAUAAAAGUUACAAGUUAAAACAUAAAUAAAAUUACAAAAUCAUAUCUAUGCAGUUAGUUUCUUUUGGACUCUUAACUUGAGUUUCAUCACUCUAUUCUUCAGGCGGGCUCCUGACUUGCAAUUUCAUCACUUGUUGCUUGGUUUUCAAUCUCUUCACCCUGUUCUUCAGGCGGGUUCCUAACUUGCUAUUUUUUCAAUCUGUUGACUUUAAAUUUCUUCACCUUGUUGCUUGACUUUCAACUUCUUCACCUUGUUACUUGACUUUCAACUUUUUCACCAUGUUGCUUGACUUUUCAUUUAUUCACCCUGCUCUUCAGGCGGGCUCCUGAAAUCACAUCAAUACUAAAAAGAAAAAUUAUCCCAAACAAAGAUUAUUAUAAAGAGAUUUCAUUUGUCAGGAAAGCGAAGUUCCAAACACAGGAUUUAAAUUUUCCCCAGUUUCUCAUCAAAGGACUUUUGGGAAAGUCACAUCAUUAUAGGAAUCAAAGGGAAUGACUAGACUAAAAGGAACAUCUUAUAAGAAUCAAAGGGAAUGACUCAACUAAAAGGUACGUCUUCUAGGAAUCAAGGGAUAUGACUCGACUAAAAGGUACUUCUUAUAGGAAUCAAGGGGCAAGGGGAAUGACUUGACUAAGUCUAAUGACUCGACUAGGGAAUGACUAGACUAAAAGGAACAUCUUAUAAGAAUCAAAGGGAAUGACUCAACUAAAAUGUACGUCUUAUAGGAAUCAAGGGGAAUGACUUGACUAAAAGGUACGUCUUUUAGGAAUCAAAUGACUCGACUAAAGGCACAUCAUCUAGGAAUCAAGGGGAAUGACUAGACUAAAAGGUACGUCUUCUAGGAAUCAAAGGUAAUGACUCGACUAAAAGGUACGUCAUCUAGGAAUCAAGGGGAAUGACUCGACUAAAAGGUACGUUUUCUAGGGGUCAAGGGGAACGAUUCAACUAAAAGGUACGUCUUCUAGGGGUCAAAGGGAAUGACUCGACUAAAAGGUACAUUUUAUAGGAAUCAAGGGGAAUGACUCGACUAAAAGGUACGUCUUCUAGGGGUCAAGAGGAAUGACUCGACUAAAAGGUACGUCUUCUAGGAAUCAAAUUAAAUAACUCGACUAAAAGGUACGCCUUAUAGGAAUCAAGGAGAAUGACUCGACUAAAAGGUACGUCUUCUAGGGGUCAAGGGAAAAGACUCGACUAAAAGAUAUGUCUUAUAGGAAUUAAAGAAGAUGACUCGAAUAAAAGGUACGUCUCAUAGGAGUGAAGGUUCAAUUUAAGAAGUGUAUCACCUAGCAAAUGAAAACUAAAAUCCCUGGACAAGAAAGUGUCUCCGAGGGAUAUAGGAUGAUGAUUUUUUACAAUGACUUGAUUAUUAAACCUGUCCAACAACAUUGUUUCCUGCAUUUGUAGGAGUGAGGCAUUGCAGACCUUGAUAUUUAUGUUCCGAAUUCCUUGAUUUAAAGGUAAUAUGUUUCCUAUUUCAUCAAAAAAAACUUGUGAGUUAAAAAAUAUGGUGGCUGGCUUGUGGCUUUAGCUUUUGCGACAAUCGCUCUUGCCCCAGUCACAUUUAACCUUGCUUCCAACCAUUAGCAUAUGUCAUUGACUUGUUGAAUCAGUGAUCCAAACUCAUAUUAGGAAGAGUGACUCUGCCACAAACACAGUAUCUCUGCUUUGCCAUGUUUCUCAGUUAAACCCUUUGAACUAUGGUAUUUCCGUGGGUUCCCAGACUUGUCUAUUGACAAAACUUUCUAUAUGUCCUUUUUUCAGCUCACAAUUAUAUCUCUUUCAUGCGCUGGCCUUUUUGUCUUGCUUUGUACAAUUGAAGAAGUUGGUAGCCAAUUUUAAAAUCUUUUCUCACUUGUUUCGACAUGGACUAGACUCAAAGACAAGAGCGAAAAUGACCAUGAUUUUUUAUUUGGAUAACUGACUCAAGAAAAAUAAAAUAAAAAUAAAACAAAGAGAAGAAAGAAAAGACAAUGAAUGUACCCAUUAAAAAAAAUAAUGAAAAAUGUAUCUAAAAAUGACAGUUAACUCUAUUGAUUAUGCCAUGCAUUUUGGAUUAAGUUGCCUGAUCUUUCAUCUAAACCUUCUACUAAUUGUUGUUGAGUUAAUGACCUUGAAACUGAAUUGCUUCCUUGGGCCAAUUUGCAUUCAAAAAUCUCAUUUGGCUAGUGGCACCUUGAAGGGUUUUCGCCAACAAGCCUCUCUCAUCUUCUUUUCCUCAACUCACCAUAGUCUUAUGGUGUCUGUAAGAGUUUUCACCAACGAGACUCUCUUAUCUUCGUUUCUCUCAACUCAUAGUCGUCUUACGAUGCCCAUGAGAGUUUUCACCGAUAAGAAUCUCUCAUUUUUAUUGCUCUCUUGAUUUCUUAUGCCGAGGAAGACAAGUGGUUCCCAAAUGCAUCAUCAUAUCCCUUGCAUGCUUAGCCUUAACAUCCUCAAAGAUUGAUCCGAAGGUCUUUCUUUGGUUGUAACUUGGCUUUUGGAUAGGGUUAGAAAGAAGGGAUGGCAUGGGGCCCAAACGGCACUUAAAGUGGGGUAGGACUUACAAUUUUUAGAAACGACUCAAAUAAUGAGGAUUAACUUAUGCCCCAGUUUUUUACUAGGCAAUUCUAAAUUAUUUAUUUGGUUGGACCAAGCCCUAAGUAGGGCAUCCUACGUAUCUCACCCCCGAGAGAAAAGAAUCGGGUCAUGCGUAGUUCUGGCAACUUGUUUUGCUUGAUUCUGAUUUCAUUUUUCUUUUGACUUCUUUUUUUUUCUUUGUAAUUUUUCUGACUCUAAUUUACUUACUUUUUUUCUUCCUUCUUGGACACAUUUUCCUCUUUUUUUGAAAAAACUUUCUGACUCUACUCUCUUGCUCUAUACUUUUCUUUUGAACUUUAUUGGUUUUAUCUUGAUUCCAAAAAAGGGGUAUGAAAGAAAAUAACACUAAGGCUUAAAUGGGGUAGACAAAGGAUGACACAAUGUUUGAAUAACAGAAUAAAAUGUCUUUGUCAUAUCAAUCCUUGAAAAUGCACGUACAUAUCAUGCAAUAUAAAAGUGAAAGAUGAAGAUCAUUUGACACCUUAAAACCACUAUCUUUAAUUGAACAUGUGUGCUACUUCUUCCUCUACACUUGUCAAACAUAUAACUCCACCUUUGUUGUAUAUCCCUUACAUUGAAUGACUCAUACUUUCGUCGAGUUGAUUUUCUUUAUAUUCCUCUUGAUAGGAUCACGCAGACACUGUUUGACCUAAUCGAGACAUGUCUUUUAAUUGAUGACCAAGUUAUUCUUGUGAUUCUCAAAAUAAUUGCCUUAAUUUUUAGAAAAGGCUUCAACUUGUCACCAAAUAUCUCAGUACUCUACUAUUUUCUUAGAUGUUUCUCCUAACUUUAGCCCUCUGAUUCAAUGUUCAUGCUUAAACUGCAUUUUAAGAUCUGACUGAAAAUUCCGCAGGCAUGUCAUAUUACUAGAAUCAACAUAAAAUAUGUUGUAUAAAGAAAACAAACAAACAACACAUUUGAAACAUAAAAGGAAAGGGACACUUCAUUUAGUUGAAAUAAAAGAUAAAAGGGUUUGAACAUAAACGACGAAGGGACAAACAAGAUAGAUCUCGAACUACAACCCUGAAAUACUUCAAAAAAUAGAAAAGAAAACAAAACAAACUACCAGACCUCUUCCUAGUGGGGAGAUGGGUGACUUCUCAUUUGCUCAGCCUGACAACUUAGCCACUGGUUUGCAUAUCAACAUGACCAGAGCUUCCCUCACUGUCAAUGUUCUGCACCAUAAUCGAUCCAUCUUGAAUCAUCUUUUCAAUUUCCCUUUUCAAAUCUCAACAAUCUUUAAUACUAUGACCCUGAGCAUCAGAAUUAUACGCACAUCAUACAUUAGGGUCAAAAUUUCUUGAACAUCGAUUAAGAGUGCACUUAAGGAGAGGAGUGAUCAUGCUCCAUUGUACCAAUUUCUGAAACAAACUAGCAUACGACUCUCUAAUUGGUGUGAAGUUAUCUCUCGACUUCUGCCUCAUUUCAUCAUUUGGCUUGGAUAAAAAAUCAGGCUUAGAAGGGUUUUGGUAUAUUUGUGAAGUUAGAGGAUGACUCUGAAUUGUUGGUGUUUUCCACUGUGGGUAAGAUGGGGGUUGAUUAUGUGGUUGUGCAUUAUAUACUGAAUAUGGAGGUGGAGGAGCAGAGUAUAAUGGAUUUUAGGAGUGAUUAUGUGGAGCUUGGGCAUGACCUUGGGUUUGAGCCUGAGAGUGGCGACAACGGGGUCUUCUUGACCGUGCCCGCUGUCCAACUACAAUAGAGGAUGCAACUUCCUCAUUCUUUGUCUCCACAAUACUUCCUGAACCCUUUUGAAUUGCUUGAGUUGUCACUUUCAAUGUUGCAAAACUCACAAUGUGACCAGUCUUAAUUCCCUCUUCUAUCAUCUCCCCCAUUUUAAGGACCUCAAUAAAUGACUUGCCUAAUGCAGGUAACAAGUUUUGAUAAUAUAUUUCAUCCUGUGCUUGAAUAAACACCUUUGCUAUUUUGCUUUCUUUCAUUGGCGAUUUUACUCUAACAGCUUGUUCGCGCCAUCUGAUCGCAUACUUUCUGAAACUCUCAGUAUUCUUCUUUUUUAUACUAGUUAGGGAUUUUUCGUCAGAGAUCAACUCCACAUUGUAUUGAAAUUGUUGCACAAAUUCAUUAGCUAGGUUAUCCCAACUAAUCUACUUGUCAAUGUCUUGGUCAACAAACCAUUUCGAAGCUAGGUCUAAAAGACUCCCCCAGAAAUAAUCCUUGAGUAGUUCUUCCUUCCCUCUAGCGCCCCUCAAUUGGUUACAAUAGCGACUCAAAUGUGCCACUGGGUCCCCAUGUCCAUCAUAGUUCUCAAACUUUGGCAUUUUAAAGUCAGGUGGAAAGUUGACACCUGGAAACAUGCAUAAGUCCUUAUAUGAGACACUUUUGUAACCCUCAAGUCCUUGCAAGUUCUUCAUAGCCAGUUCCAAACUUCUCAAUUUUUUGGUCAUUUCCUCUUGUCCUUCUUUCAUAACAAGCUUCUCAGUGUUAGGAGGAAAUUCAAGUGGGUGAGUGUCACUGUAAAGACCAGUCAACUUGAAUGUAGGCUCGAAAGUGUACCGCUGAUCACCAGUAAUAUUCAAUCCAGGCUUUCUUGUAGAGUAGGGAGGCACAACUUGUGGACGAACAUCAAAAGUAGGAGCUUCAGGUGGGGGUGGCACCGCAAAAGCAUGAACAACAGGUGAAGCCGAGUAUGUGGUAGUCUUGGAUUGGGGAGUGAGGAAAUAAACAUUAGAAGUGGUUGGGUAUUGUUGCCCCAAAGUCGAUCCUGAUGCAUGUUGUGGCAUAUCAACAAAAAUGGGAAAUUGUGCAUAUGACACGAGAGGCAAGAUGGAAAGAUAUUCCAGAUUAUCAGUGGGAACUGGAGGAGGAGGUAACCCAUUAGCCCAAGCUCGAUGCAUUCCUAUCAUUUGCUGCCUCAAUUUCCGAAUCACUUCAUUAGCUCCUACAUUCUCACUUCUCAAACUCCCUAUCUGAUAGUGACAACAAACUCGGUAUCCUUGUUAGCCAUAACCUUCUCUAUGACUUGGUGCAAUAUGGAGGACCAGCUAAAAUGCCACAACCCAACCACCUCAAACUAACUGAACAAGAGAUAACAAAUGCGUUAGAGUCUAACACUUUCUCAAAAUCUCCCCUUUUUUUCUUUUUGAAAAGGUCACCGAACCCAAGAAGGCUACCUACGUAUAUCACCCCCUGAGAGAGGAGAAUCAGGUGUGCGUAGUUCAUGAAAUCUUGCCAAAAUGGUCAAAUAAACUCUUUUUCUUUUUCUUGAAACUUUAAAAAUAAAAGGAAAUAACAAAUUGUCAAAAGAAUUGACGAAAAUCUUUUUUGCAUUUUUCGGCUUUAAUAACCUAUACAAAAUGAAACCUAUGAUUACCAAAGAAAAGUCAUUUUGGAUUUUCGAUUUUGAAUUUCAUAUGAAAAUAAAACUUGAAACUAUUAAAGGAAAAUGUUUUUGUAGUUUUCUUUUUAGAGAUGUAUAUAAAACACUUACUUUAAAUAAAGAGUGAAGAAAAUCUUUUAGAAUUUUUCAAAUAAGAUCCCCGAACCAAAAAUAGGUUGCCUACAUAUCUCACAUCCCGAAAGAGGAGAAUCAGGGGUGCGUAGUUCAUCCAGAUUGGAAAAUUAAUGAUUAAAUAAUCGACUAAACCCGGACUUGAGAUACCAGACCACAAACAGAAGAUGAAAAACAUCAAUAAAAUCUUUUUAAGUUUUCAAUUUGACACUUAACCUAAAAAUGACACCAAUAAAUAUGCAAGGAAAAUCUUUUUUGAUAUUUUCGUUAUACGAAAUGUAUAAAACUUCUACCAGUUUUUAAAUUUUUCUUUUAUAAAAGGCUCCUAUUGAAAAAUAAUCUUUUUGAAAUUUUUGAAUUAUGAAUGCAUGCUAAAGGAGACAAAGCAAAAAACUUUCUGAUGUUUUUGAUUUUUGAGAAAUGAGUGCAAAAGGAAAAAAAAUCUUUCUGAAUUUUGAAUUUUGAAAAACAAAAGCCAUAAAGAACUCUGAAAACUAGAAACUCUCUUUUUUUUUCUUUUUGACUCACUAUUCUUUUUUUUUUUUUUUUUUUUACUUCUAACACAUGUUUUCCCCAAAUUAGUCCAUCAAAUGACCAUAUUACCCUCAAAGAUGCAACAAUUAACACGUAGGGAUGCUUUAGAGGCAAGUCUCCUACAAAAGGCCAAGUGGGCCCCUCUAGGUCUUCAAUAUGAUGCAUAUAAACAUGACCUACAAGGUGACCUACGUUGGGGUUCACUAACAAGGCUGUUCGGAGGAGCGUAUAGUCGAUAGUGGCUGCUUUGCUUUCCACCUACUCCAUAACAUCGAUGGCUCCUCCCCUAAAAUAAGGGUGACUCAACUAGAGGUCGUGUACAACACGUGUACUAUGGACUUGUUGCAGAAAGAAUGACUCGGGCUAUGCACAUGAUGCUAGAUAUAAAGCAGCAACACAUAAGAUAAAAUUAUAAACAAAGAGCAUGUAGGCACUCAAAAAAAUAACAAAAAGCAACGCAAAUAUAUGUCUAUACACGUAUAGUGACAAACUAAGCCGAUACAACUCCAAAUUAAGCUUGAAUUCUGAAAAUAGAUCUCCAACGGAGUCGCCAGAGCUGUCACACCCCUUUUUAACUCCAAAAAGAUAUUAUUUUAAAAGUUUGAAAGGGUUUUCGUUAUAAGUGACAAAAGAUAAAAAUUUGCUUCGAAAAGGACCUUUUAUAUUCAAAACUCAGAGUCGCCACUUGGCAUAAUCCGGUGUGCCAAGUCACCUUUGAAAAAUCCUUUUCAAAACGAUUUGACUCAAACUGGUUUGCGAACAGAGAUUUCAGCUAAGGAAUUCUGUUGACCGACGGAAAGGUGUUAGGCACCCCUCGAUCCUGUGGUUUGAACACGGUCGCUUGUUGGAGCGUAUCGGCUAAUUUGACACCACGAAUGUAUAAACCACACAAAAGCACGCAAAACAAUCAAUCAAGCAAAAAAAAUAAAAACAAUCCAAAAUUUGGUGUCCAGUCCAAUUUAUUACAAAUUGAAAUAGAAAAUACUGAAUAAACCUACACUAACCUAUACUAGUCCUAAAUUAAACUCUACCCGAUGCCUUGGGCCUUCAUCACAGACAUCCUCCGUGUACAAAAUACCUCAGGGCAUUCCCCAACGAAUAAACACAAAUACCUCGGGGCAUUCCCCAGCCAAAUGAAUACAUUUUCAAUGCAAGAAGACCACAAUCAUUCAAUAAUAUUUCAAACAUUCCACAAUUUAUAAUCCCUAAAUUUGCCUAUCACCCCUAUUGUUUGCCUAUCGAUUUGACGACCUAAUCUUGAUACUAUUAAGUUCGAUGACAUCAAUGAAUUAAAAUUAGUCCGUAUUCAUUUUUUUACUUUUCAAAUCCCGUCUCACUUUCAUUCUUGAUCAAUUAACCAAUUCCAAUACAGAAUCAACCAAUCAAAACUACGAUAAUCAUAGACGUUCAAACAUACUAUCAAAAAUUAUAUCAUCAAUCAACAUGAACCACGCAACUCACAACAUCACCUCACCAAAUUAAGUAAAACAAAGAGGAGGAGUUGAAGAAUUGGACCUUAGAAGAAGCUUUCAAAAUUGAUGUAUUAUUCCAAUAAAAACCCGGUACAAUCCGCGUCGAGAACCUCGAUUCAUACCUCAAUCACGAACUUGCCAACUCGAUCAAAACCCCAAAACAAUGGAGAAAACCACAAAAAAAAAAAAUCCAAAUCUCAAUUUUCGAACCAAGCUUGAAACGAGUCACGCUAGGUUUGCUAUUUUUGGUGAAGUUCGAACUCGCUGAAGCUCCGAUGGAUCUCGGCAGUCAGCGAAACAAUGUUUUCCCAGUGAGAUUUUGCCAGAGAACUAGAAACGAAAGAGAAUUCGAAGAUUUUGAGGGUGCGGAUGGUCUAAUUCCGGUAAGGGAAUACCGAUUUCGGUGAGAAACUCGCCGGAAAAACCAAACCAGCCGUCCUUUUUCUCAUGUAUUCCCUCUCUCCGAUCGAUUCUCUCCCUUUCUCGAUUUGGAUUGUCUUCUCUCCGAUCUCACGCUCAGAUUUGUCUCUCACUGUGGUUGUGUGUAUGUAUAAUGGUUUUGUGUGAAGGCAGGUGUAUUAAUGGAAUAAACUCAUCAGUGAUGGUGUCUAUAUAUUCCUCUUUCCCGUAUUCUAUAUGUGUAUAUGUUGAAUUGGGAUCUUUUUCUUUAUGGUUACCGUGAUGUUCGUCAAUGGCGUAUAGGUGUGUUCGUGCUAUAUGGGUCUUCUCUAAAAAUGGAAAAAUAUGGUCAGAAUGUUACUGUGGGGACAUCUAUAUUGUUAUCUAUUGUAUUCUUAUGUAUUCGCCUCCCUAUUUCUAUGUGAAGUAUAUGUGUAUAUUGUGAAUUCCAG